GGAGCGGCGGGAUGCGGCAGUGCCGGGCCGCGGGGCUGGCGGGGCUGGCCGCGGUGCUCCUGGCGACUGUGAGCAGAGCUCAGGUGCAGCAGGAGCCAUCCGUAGAGACCAGCGAGGGCACCGGCAUCAACAUCACCUGCUCACACCCCAACAUACAGUCCAACGACUACAUCCACUGGUACCGUCAGCUCCCUGGCCGAGGACCCGCAUUCAUCGCGAGUGCCUUGAAGGAGUCGAAGAACGUGCGCGACCCGGAGGGGCAGGUGUUUGUGUCGGCAGACCGCCGCUCCAGCGCCCUGUGGCUCGCCCGGCCCCGGCUCGGCGACGCGGCCGUGUAUUACUGCGCCGUGAACCCACGGGGAGCGAAGCCGGGGCUGCGGACGGGCACGAACCGCUUUGGGCGGGGCGGGGGCACAGUGCCGUCUGGGCCCGCAGGGGGCGCUGCCGCUCCUCCCUCCCGGCCCCGCCCGAGCUGCCAUUGCUGACAUGGAACGUGUCCCUCGCACUGCUCGGCUUCCUUCUCAGUGAGACGUUCCAGCUGCACACCUUCACGAGCACGGCAUGUCGAGGUCACAGACACUUUCAAGCGGUCCCCACAGUAGCUCUGUUCUCAGACUACGAGAUUCUGUGACGAGACUGUGUGAGGGGAUUCAGGGCCUCUAGCAGUGAGGUGCAGUUUCAGCAAAGGCCACUGUAAGCUGUGUUUCCUGUGAGGGCUACUGCCUCAUCUGUGGAUCAAAUCACUAUUCAGCUUAAAGGGAAGGGCUAUUUAGGGGGAAACUGAUAAACAAAGCACAGAAUGACCGCAAUCAGUAAUCAAAAAGGGAGACAGGAAGGAGGUCCAGAACUCUUCAGCUCCUAACUGAUGGACAUAUACAUGUAUGACAUAAAAUGCAGACGUUUUAAUGAAUGUUUAGGGAAAGGUCAAAGGUGUGACAGAAAGGGUUGUAGGAAGGAACAAGGGGAUGCAGUGCAGAGCAGAGAGGACACAAAUUUCCACUCAGUACACCUACUGGGAUGAGCCCUAUGCCUGAGCAUCACUGCCCAACCUGUCUCUUUAAUAAGCUGACUUGUCUGCGCAGCACUUAAACUGUGUUCCCUUUCUCCUGUGGGAGCACCCCAAGGUGUAGGCCAGUAGAUGCAGAGACUGGUGUGCAGGAGAGAUCUGUGAGCCAGCAACCGAAACAGCAUGCACAGCACAUCAGGAUUAAACCAGUGACUGGGAGGAAAGAGUAUUCAGGUCUGGGAGAGAGGUGGGUAAGGAAACACAAAGCCUGGGAGUGGAGAUUCGGUAUGCUGAGAUCCCAUGGUAAUGUUGGAAAUAUCCAAAUAAUUGUUGUCAGGAUGGUAUCUCUGAUAAAAGCAGAUUUUAUUCGCAAUUGCAGUUUCAGGCAUCCCCUAAAGGCCCUUAAGGCACCCCUAAGGACACAGUGAUAGCUUUUUGUACCUUGUUUCCCCCUUUACCCACCCCCCUGCUCUGUUUCCCCAUUGGCUGGGUUCUUCAGGUUCAUGAUCUCAUCACAGUUUAUAUGUCUUAGUUCGGGGGGGGGGGGCGGAGGGGAGUUGAUGCCAGGCCUCCUGAUGUCUCUUCAGGUGCUUCCAUGGGCAUGCCAUGACUUGUUCUCUGGUUUGAUCAAUCUCGUGCAGGAUCUUCUUGCAAUGCGUGUGACCAAAUAUACAUAUAUACACCUAUAUACAGACCGUGCAUUCCUGGGAAGGUUCGUCUAGAAGAUAAGUGAUGUAAACUAUCCGAGAUCUUUCCCAAGUUAAGUAGAAAGACUCCCAGAAACAACUAGGACAGUGGAGAUAAUGAAAUAAAAAAAAUAUUAUCCAAUUCUAAUGCAGAAACAAAUUUGAUUCCUACAGUAAUAUCUGAGGGAUCAGGAAGAGUGUGGGGAUAUGUGUGAGAGGAGUGGGUGACUGCACACAUCUGUUGGCCAGCAAACAGCAGGCUGGCCUAUCGCAAGCAAAGGAGGAGACCCACAUGCUGGGAAAGAGAAGCCAGGCUCCAGGCAGGGAUAUUGGAUGUGCUGAGGACCCCUGCUCACACCGAUGGGCUGUGUGACUGUGGGAGUGCUUGUGAAGUUAGUGGGUGAAGGUGUGUGCUUCCACUGGGGAACGGCAGUCCUGAUUAGGCAGAAAGGAGGAACAGGGCUUGGCUCUGAGCUUAGGGCUUAUAAGAGAAAUGGUGUUGUUACC
Phasianus colchicus (ring-necked pheasant) is the source of this 2199-nucleotide non-coding RNA. The record is from the annotation of a RefSeq genome assembly. Lineage: Eukaryota; Metazoa; Chordata; Aves; Galliformes; Phasianidae.